AACAUCGCGCACCUGCGGGAACCUGCGGAAGGAUCAUUAACGAAUUAUCUAGGGGUUGUGCUGGUUCUUACAAGUGCACGCCUCUUUACAAUUCCAUUCACACCCAUCGUGAACUAUAAGAGACGUAUUUCCCCCGUUUACGUGCCGAAAGGCUUGGGACUUCGUCUGUUUUUACACACUCUUGAUCGUAUCAGAACGUCUUUCUAGCGGAAACGCUGAAACAUAAUAUAACUUUCAACA
RNAcentral lists this unclassified non-coding RNA (240 nucleotides) under soil metagenome. Its description in RNAcentral is "partial contains 5.8S ribosomal RNA, internal transcribed spacer 2, and large subunit ribosomal RNA". The record is from RNAcentral.